UGCCGGCGACCGGCGGACGGGCGCGUAACGCGUAUGUAACCUACCUUUGACAGGGGGAUAACAUCGAGAAAUUGGUACUAAUACCCCAUAACAUCACCGGAGGCAUCUUCGGUGGUUGAAAACUCAGGUGGUCAGAGAUGGACAUGCGUUGUAUUAGCUAGUUGGUGAGGUAACGGCUCACCAAGGCGACGAUACAUAGGGGGACUGAGAGGUCAACCCCCCACAUUGGUACUGAGACACGGACCAAACUCCUACGGAAGGCAGCAG
Molecule: ribosomal RNA, 267 nt
Filed under: uncultured bacterium
Lineage: Bacteria
Description: partial 16S ribosomal RNA
Rfam family: Bacterial small subunit ribosomal RNA
Source: RNAcentral